RNAcentral lists this ribosomal RNA (508 nucleotides) under uncultured bacterium. RNAcentral's name for it is "bacterial SSU rRNA". It matches the Rfam family "Bacterial small subunit ribosomal RNA", at positions 335 to 861 of the family's 1533-position model. The record is from RNAcentral.
AUUCCUACGGGAGGCAGCAGUAGGGAAUCUUAGACAAUGGGCGCAAGCCUGAUCUAGCCAUGCCGCGUGAGUGAUGAAGGCCCUAGGGUCGUAAAGCUCUUUCGCCUGUGAAGAUAAUGGCUGUAGCAGGUAAAGAAACCCCGGCUAACUCCGUGCCAGCAGCCGCGGUAAUACGGAGGGGGUUAGCGUUGUUCGGAAUUACUGGGCGUAAAGCGCGCGUAGGCGGACAUUUAAGUCAGGGGUGAAAUCCCGGGGCUCAACCCCGGAACUGCCCUUGAUACUGGGUGUCUUGAGUUCGAGAGAAGUGAGUGGAAUUCCGAGUGUAGAGGUGAAAUUCGUAGAUAUUCGGAGGAACACCAGUGGCGAAGGCGGCUCACUGGCUCGAUACUGACGCUGAGGUGCGAAAGUGUGGGGAGCAAACAGGAUUAGAUACCCUGGUAGUCCACACCGUAAACGAUGAAUGCCAGUCGUCGGGCAGUAUACUGUUCGGUGACACACCUAACGGAUU